RNAcentral lists this unclassified non-coding RNA (365 nucleotides) under uncultured bacterium. RNAcentral describes it as "contains 16S-23S intergenic spacer region". The record is from RNAcentral.
UCCUGGUUGACCCAGGCAGUUCCAUGUGAAAAAGCAACACAUGGUAGGGGUUGCGCUCGUUAACCGACUGAACGGGACACUUCACAGCACGAGCUGACGACAACCGUGCAACACCUGUCAUCUGGUUCCUUGCGGCACGGUCCGGUUUCUCGGACUUUCCAGAGAUGUCAAGCCUUGGUAAGGUUCUUCGCUUAGUUUCGAAUUAAACCACACGCUCCACCACUUGUGCAGGUCCCCGUCAAUUCCUUUGAGUUUUAAGCUUGCGCUCGUACUCCCCAGGCGGCAUACUUACCGCGUUAGCUGCGCCCCAAGGGAGGGUCGAUACUCCCCAAGAGCUAGUAUGCAUCGUUUACGGCGUGGACUAC